UACGUAGGGUGCGAGCGUUAAUCGGAAUUACUGGGCGUAAAGCGUGCGCAGGCGGUUAUGUAAGACAGGUGUGAGAUCCCCGGGCUUAACCUGGGAACUGCAUUUGUGACUGCAUAGCUAGAGUACGGUAGAGGGGGAUGGAAUUCCGCGUGUAGCAGUGAAAUGCGUAGAUAUGCGGAGGAACACCGAUGGCGAAGGCAAUCCCCUGGACCUGUACUGACGCUCAUGCACGAAAGCGUGGGGAGCAAACAGG
This 253-nucleotide ribosomal RNA is filed under the name uncultured bacterium. Its description in RNAcentral is "partial 16S ribosomal RNA". It matches the Rfam family "Bacterial small subunit ribosomal RNA", at positions 524 to 776 of the family's 1533-position model. The record is from RNAcentral.